Molecule: non-coding RNA, 114 nt
Filed under: Anaerovibrio sp.
Lineage: Bacteria; Bacillati; Bacillota; Negativicutes; Selenomonadales; Selenomonadaceae
Description: SAM-I sequence
Rfam family: SAM riboswitch aptamer (S box leader)
About the family: The SAM riboswitch is found upstream of a number of genes which code for proteins involved in methionine or cysteine biosynthesis in Gram-positive bacteria.
Source: RNAcentral
AACUCAUCAAGAGCAGUGGAGGGACUGGCCCUGUGAAGCUGCGGCAACCAUUGGCAUAUGAAGAUGUGCCGAAACGGUGCUAAUUCCUGAAGGCUAUCCGCCUUAAGAUGAGAG